This 220-nucleotide ribosomal RNA is filed under the name Bodo sp. RNAcentral's name for it is "partial small subunit ribosomal RNA". It matches the Rfam family "Eukaryotic small subunit ribosomal RNA", at positions 418 to 625 of the family's 1831-position model. The record is from RNAcentral. Lineage: Eukaryota; Euglenozoa; Kinetoplastea; Eubodonida; Bodonidae.
ACGGAGGGCAGCNGGCGCGCAAAUUGCCCAAUCCCAAAGCAAAUGGGGAGGCAGCGAAAAGAAAUAGGUCUCCCAAUGGCCCUCGUGGUUGUUGGGAGUUUGCAAUGGGGGAUAUUUAAUGCCAUCCAAUAUCGAGUAACGAUUGGAGGACAAGUCUGGUGCCAGCACCCGCGGNAAUUCCNGCUCCNAGAGCGUAUAUUAACGCUGUUGCUGUUAAAGG